GUCCGCGUAGCUCAGUCGGAGAGAGCGCAGCCCUGCGGAGGCUGAGGUCGCAGGUUCGAGUCCUGCCGCGGACG
This 74-nucleotide transfer RNA is filed under the name Ardenticatenia bacterium. RNAcentral's name for it is "tRNA-Arg". It matches the Rfam family "tRNA". Rfam says of the family: Transfer RNA (tRNA) molecules are approximately 80 nucleotides in length. Lineage: Bacteria; Bacillati; Chloroflexota; Ardenticatenia. The record is from RNAcentral.